Molecule: ribosomal RNA, 497 nt
Filed under: uncultured bacterium
Lineage: Bacteria
Description: partial 16S ribosomal RNA
Rfam family: Bacterial small subunit ribosomal RNA
Source: RNAcentral
GAUGAACGCUGGCGGCGUGCCUAAUACAUGCAAGUCGAGCGAACGGACGAGAAGCUUGCUUCUCUGAUGUUAGCGGCGGACGGGUGAGUAACGCGUGUAUAACCUACCUAUAAGACUGGGAUAACUUCGGGAAACCGGAGAAAAUACCGGAUAAGAUUUUGAACCGCAUGGUUCAAAAGUGAAAGACGGUCUUUCGGUCACUUAUAGAUGGAUCCGCGCUGCAUUAGCUAGUUGGUAAGGUAACGGCUUACCAAGGCUACGAUGCAUAGCCGACCUGAGAGGGUGAUAGGCCACACUGGAGCUGAGACGCGGUCCAGGCUCCUGCGGGAGGCAGCAGUAGGGAAUCUUCCGCAGUGGGCGAAAGCCUGACGGAGCGGCGGCGCGUGUGUGGUGACAGUCUUCGGAUCGGAAUACUCUGUUAUUAGGGAAGAACAGAUGUGUAAGUAACUGUACACAUCUUGACGGUACCUAAUAAGAAAGCCCCGGCUAACUACGUG